RNAcentral lists this transfer RNA (107 nucleotides) under Anomochloa marantoidea. Its description in RNAcentral is "tRNA-Gly". The stretch from base 37 to 107 matches the Rfam family "tRNA". From Rfam's summary of the family: Transfer RNA (tRNA) molecules are approximately 80 nucleotides in length. Their secondary structure includes four short double-helical elements and three loops (D, anti-codon, and T loops). The record is from RNAcentral. Lineage: Eukaryota; Viridiplantae; Streptophyta; Magnoliopsida; Poales; Poaceae.
AAGGAGAAGAUACUGGUUCGAUUCCCGUCGCUCGCCGCGAGCGUAGUUGAAUGGGAAAAUAUCUCCUUGCCAAGGAGAAGAUACGGGUUCGAUUCCCGUCGCUCGCC